GGUCAAGAGCGGGCAUGAGUCAUCAAAAAUUCAUUUCAAUUUCAAGUCGCCGUGGUACUCCAUUCUUCCGCUAGUGUAGGAAAAAGUUGGAUACCAAAGACCAUGAACACCCCGGUAUCAUAUCGACCUGGGUUAUAUUUUUCAACAUUCCCAUUAAGUACGAAUAUCGAGAGUAUCAAGUAACGAAUGAAAUUUUAUUCUGUAACAUAUUUCUCAAUUUUAUCAAUUCUGGUUUUGUAUCAAAUAUUGAAAGUUUGGAUAUUUCAAAACCCAUCACUGCUUGCAUCAAUAGUGCCCAAUUGAAUUUCAAACAGUGGUGUUAUGUAUAGCGUGUAUAUCGUGCAUAAUCGCAAAAUUUUUUUUUUGUUUUUUACUUCAAACAAUGUAGAGCGCAUAAUGAACUAGAUUUAAAAACAAAAAUUUCGAUCAAGAUAUUUCGCAACAACAUAAUUGUCUUAAGGCAAAAGGAAAAUCGCAAAAAGGGUAAUAAGAAAAAAAUAUUAAAAAAGCAAGUCUUCGCGCUCAUUAGAAAAACAUUGAAAAUCAUAGUAUAGCAUUGGAAAUAUCAGCAGUUUCAACAUAAGUUUUAUCAUAGAUAUUAUUAGAUAAUAAGUGUUUGCUUCAUGUUUUUAAUCGGCCUGUGCAGUGAAAUAUAAUAUGUGAAAACAAAUGUGUGUUUUAUGUGUUUAAAGAGGUCUGCGCAGUGGAAAAAUUAUGUGAAUACAAAUGUUUGUUUUAUUUUCCCAUUAUAUAGAACAAACAAAACUCUAUUAUUGUAUUCACAGUUUAUGAGAAUAUUCAUAUAUGGCAACUUUGCCUGAUAUUUGACAUUUAAACUGUGAGCGCACAAAGUUAGUUUUGUUGCAAAUUAAUGUUUAAUUUUUGUAUAAAAAUGUCUCAUUUAAAUGGAAAGUAAAAUAUCCAAAUUAUCAUUAUGUCAAUAUAACCGCUAAUGAUUCGAGUAUGUAUAUAUAUAAGUUAGCACCCCAUACAUUCAAAAUGUAUCAUAUGAUGCAUUAAUAUCAUAUGAUACAA
This is a long non-coding RNA of Bactrocera tryoni, 1035 nucleotides long. RefSeq lists it as uncharacterized. The transcript has 3 exons. The record is from RefSeq and is a predicted model, not a curated record. NCBI's taxonomy places the organism in Eukaryota, Metazoa, Arthropoda, Insecta, Diptera, Tephritidae.